ACGGUUACGAUUACCCCAAGAGUGCCCAAGGGAGAGGAAGGAGGUGUCAAACGCAUGCUGAGCCCCACUUCGGUAGUUUGGCACCUGUACCAUAGGCAUUCAGGCAAGCGUGCCUAUGGGAAAAGUCGGUUGAGCUUGCCAGCCAUGUUGGGAAUCGGCUGGACGAGAUGAUUGCACAAGGAUGCUUGCUUUAAGGUAACGUUCCGGCAGCACAGCCAGCCCGCAAUUGCUAGUUCAAGCGGGUGGAAUCUGCCUAUAGGGGUGUUGCUUGCU
Molecule: unclassified non-coding RNA, 273 nt
Filed under: Helianthus heterophyllus
Lineage: Eukaryota; Viridiplantae; Streptophyta; Magnoliopsida; Asterales; Asteraceae
Description: partial external transcribed spacer
Source: RNAcentral